UGUUGGUGAGGCCCGGAGGGGCCUUAGGGGCGCAGGAGGACAAGGCCGUGCCCUCGGGCCGCGGUUUGCGCUGACCCCGUUGCUCCUUCUCCAGCCGCACGCACCUUCCCGCUGGGAGGCAGCAGACCUAUUUUGGUCAGAGAAUAGUGGGGCCCUAGUGAUGCUGAUGAAGGAGGCUCAAGGUUUGCACUUCAAGGAAAUAAGGCCUUGCUUAUGAGUAGUGGAGGAGAUAAAGAUCCUACAGUCCUUUCAUGAUGCCCAUGCCUCCUACUCAGCAAUAGAAAGGAAGUAACUGCUGACACACAUGCAUCGGGGUGAGUCUCAGAAGCACCCAAGGUGCUCAAGUGAAAGCAGCCAGACACAAAAGGAGUGACUAGAGACAGAAAUCAGGAAAAUAGAAGAUGUCUUGGCUACGGCUGGAUCGAGUAGAACUGCCCAGAACGCUCAGGAAUUGAGGCCAGGGCAAUCAUGCUUGGUAAGAUUUACCUGGAAGGCCUUCUCCAGCCUCUGAGAUCACAGUCUC
This is a long non-coding RNA of Canis lupus familiaris (dog), 523 nucleotides long. RefSeq lists it as uncharacterized. The record is from RefSeq and is a predicted model, not a curated record. The transcript has 3 exons. Lineage: Eukaryota; Metazoa; Chordata; Mammalia; Carnivora; Canidae.